Triticum dicoccoides is the source of this 1975-nucleotide long non-coding RNA. RefSeq lists it as uncharacterized. Lineage: Eukaryota; Viridiplantae; Streptophyta; Magnoliopsida; Poales; Poaceae. The record is from RefSeq and is a predicted model, not a curated record. The transcript has 5 exons.
GAUCGGGUGCGUGCGCGACUACCCGCCGGAGCUGCAGUUCCGGUUGCUGGAGGAUUCGGGCUUUGAAAUUGUGCCAAGUACAUAUGCGUUCGGUGGAGGAUUCGGGCUUUGAAAUUGUGCCAGAAACAGGCACAGAGACAGAAUUUGAGCAACACUGACUGUCUGUUGUAAUCUAUAUACAACAGAAUUUGUACUACAUCCUUAGUUUUAGCGCAUCCCUCCUGCCACGAGGAAAAUAUCAUGGAAUUGACAAGAGCAAGGCAGGAGAGAUGCUGGGAGCCAAAAUCAAUAGCACCCAGACUGCAUGCAGAUAAAUAUAGCCUCAACAAGAUGAUUGUGAGAUCGAGCUCCUUCAGUUUCAGCAUAAGCCCCUGCAUAAAUCAUCACCUUUGGAGCAGUGCUUACUCCCAAACCAUUAAGGUUCUGUAACGGCUGAAAUUCUCCAAGCUCUGAAUCUCUGACGAUGAUGGGAUCCGGACACCCUGAAGAAACUACAUCCAGUUCAGUACAGUCAGGGGGUAGGCAUGCUUCCAACCGUGUGUUUCUUCAAGGCAAGGUUUGCUAUUUGUUGUGUAUCAGUCCCAACAAGUUGUAGUUUGGUUAUUCUUGUUCUUUUAUUGUUAGUGAAGAAAAAUGACAAUGUAGUCCCAGGUCUGUGUACGUGAGGUUUUCAUGGUCCUUGAGCUGUUGUUACAUGCAGGGCCGUGCUUGCCAAGAAUCGAAACCGAUCCUCCUUGAAGAUGGUCCGACCUCCAGUUCAUCUAUCGAAGGAUAGUAAUACUACUACUGCUGCAACUAUCUUGUUGUAUCGCUCUGCUUCCAUAUGCAAAACAAUGCAUUAACCUGUUCUUUUUUUGCGGGAAAAAUAAUGCGUUGAUCAAUGUAUUCUGCAUUCCUGAUUGUCAUAUGUUUCGAAUUCAUAAGAUUAGCUAUAUGAAAGCCACGGUGCAUAUAAUGUUCGUUUCAUUUCUUAGCGCAGUAGCUCUGGUAUGAAAGACUGACGAACAUGGGUGAAUAAGCUGGGAGGAACGGACAGCACAGUGACAAUGGGUAGGUGCAACCUUCGGAGAAAAGUGUGUCAAGGCAGCAAUUAUAGUUGGUAACAUGAGCUGCCCCAGUCGCAUGGCAGUGUUCUGGCCAAGAUGGUACGGCACAUAGUUGCUCGCCUAAAUGAAGGGAAUGUUGAUCUGGUCCCUCACGGAGACACUGGAGGAGAUGGUGUGCUCAACCUGAGUUCGCCUUCAGCAUCCUCCUACAGUUUGACAAGUCCAUGAGUGCCACGCCUACAGCCCCAGGUCAAGAGCAAUGCCUUCUUCAAGGUGCCAACCAAAAUGACACCUCUCCACACAUUUAUUACUAUAUUGUACAUAGAACCAAGUGCCCUGACCUAUGCUAUAAAGAGAUCAUGUGAAAACAAAGCUGAAGUUGUUGCUCAGGAUGAGAAGGAAAGUAAUCUUCGAGCAACACUAGACCUGGACCUAGAACCACUGGUUCACUUAGAACGAGUUAGUCGAUUGUUGUGAUAAGAGUAAGGGUUGAGAGUGAGCGCGGUAGGUUGAUUCAAGAGUUAAUAAUGGACAUCAUUGCGCAUCAGUUGCAUGGACAUCAUUGUUUUUAUUUUGUGGUAAUGCAUGACAUUCAACUAUAUGUUACAACGUGACAAUGGCUCGGAAGACAUCGGAUAUGCCUUCUUGGCUCGGAGGGUGUCACAGGCGGCGCACGCCUCCUCGCCUAAUAACGGUGGCCGGGGACUCCACCUUGGCGGUCCGUGGUGGAAGUACAGUGUGAAGAAUAGAGGGUGCCAUGACAAAGGUGAGCUGGUGUCAUCUGGUUUGGACUUCCACAUUUCUCACCCACAUAUGGGGUGGAUUUAGCAGAGUCCGGACCAUCUAGAUGCUUGGAUUUUGGGGAGCCUGCUAGGCACCCAUUUGAUGUCUGAACAUGCUCGAACGUACGAGAGACAAAUGAACUUCGA